RNAcentral lists this ribosomal RNA (1346 nucleotides) under uncultured bacterium. Its description in RNAcentral is "bacterial SSU rRNA". It matches the Rfam family "Bacterial small subunit ribosomal RNA", at positions 28 to 1381 of the family's 1533-position model. The record is from RNAcentral.
GACGAACGCUGGCGGCGUGCUUAACACAUGCAAGUCGAACGGAAAGGCCCUGCUUUUGUGGGGUGCUCGAGUGGCGAACGGGUGAGUAACACGUGAGUAACCUGCCCUUGACUUUGGGAUAACUUCAGGAAACUGGGGCUAAUACCGGAUAGGAGCUCCUGCUGCAUGGUGGGGGUUGGAAAGUUUCGGCGGUUGGGGAUGGACUCGCGGCUUAUCAGCUUGUUGGUGGGGUAGUGGCUUACCAAGGCUUUGACGGGUAGCCGGCCUGAGAGGGUGACCGGCCACAUUGGGACUGAGAUACGGCCCAGACUCCUACGGGAGGCAGCAGUGGGGAAUAUUGCACAAUGGGCGGAAGCCUGAUGCAGCAACGCCGCGUGCGGGAUGACGGCCUUCGGGUUGUAAACCGCUUUCGCCUGUGACGAAGCGUGAGUGACGGUAAUGGGUAAAGAAGCACCGGCUAACUACGUGCCAGCAGCCGCGGUGAUACGUAGGGUGCGAGCGUUGUCCGGAUUUAUUGGGCGUAAAGGGCUCGUAGGUGGUUGAUCGCGUCGGAAGUGUAAUCUUGGGGCUUAACCCUGAGCGUGCUUUCGAUACGGGUUGACUUGAGGAAGGUAGGGGAGAAUGGAAUUCCUGGUGGAGCGGUGGAAUGCGCAGAUAUCAGGAGGAACACCAGUGGCGAAGGCGGUUCUCUGGGCCUUUCCUGACGCUGAGGAGCGAAAGCGUGGGGAGCGAACAGGCUUAGAUACCCUGGUAGUCCACGCUGUAAACGGUGGGUACUAGGUGUGGGGUCCAUUCCACGGGUUCCGUGCCGUAGCUAACGCUUUAAGUACCCCGCCUGGGGAGUACGGCCGCAAGGCUAAAACUCAAAGGAGUUGACGGGGCCCCGCACAAGCGGCGGAGCAUGCGGAUUAAUUCGAUGCAACGCGUAGAACCUUACCUGGGUUUGACAUGGAUCGGGAGUGCUCAGAGAUGGGUGUGCCUCUUUUGGGGUCGGUUCACAGGUGGUGCAUGCCUGUCGUCAGCUCGUGUCGUGAGAUGUUGGGUUAAGUCCCGCAACGAGCGCAACCCUUGUUCACUGUUGCCAGCACGUUAUGGUGGGGACUCAGUGGAGACCGCCGGGGUCAACUCGGAGGAAGGUGGGGAUGACGUCAAGUCCUCAUGCCCCUUAUGUCCAGGGCUUCACGCAUGCUACAAUGGCUGGUACAGAGAGUGGCGAGCCUGUGAGGGUGAGCGAAUCUCGGAAAGCCGGUCUCAGUUCGGAUUGGGGUCUGCAACUCGACCUCAUGAAGUCGGAGUCGCUAGUAAUCGCAGAUCAGCAACGCUGCGGUGAAUACGUUCCCGGGGCU